This 73-nucleotide transfer RNA is filed under the name Cimex lectularius (bed bug). RNAcentral's name for it is "tRNA-Lys". It matches the Rfam family "tRNA". From Rfam's summary of the family: Transfer RNA (tRNA) molecules are approximately 80 nucleotides in length. Lineage: Eukaryota; Metazoa; Arthropoda; Insecta; Hemiptera; Cimicidae. The record is from Rfam by way of RNAcentral.
GUCACGAUAGCUCAAGUGGUAGAGCAUCGGCGUUUUUAGCCGAAGGUUGUUGGUUCGAAUCCCCCUUGUGACA